GGGUUGAUUUUGACAAACCAAAGUCACGAAGAGAGGUGAUGACAUAAAAAUCAUGCUCAAUAUGAUUACGCUGAGGCCC
This is a small nucleolar RNA of Mesocricetus auratus (golden hamster), 79 nucleotides long. Its record names the gene SNORD115. It matches the Rfam family "Small nucleolar RNA SNORD115". From Rfam's summary of the family: HBII-52 is a member of the C/D class of snoRNAs, which contain the C (UGAUGA) and D (CUGA) box motifs. HBII-52 is encoded in a tandemly repeated array with another C/D snoRNA, HBII-85, in the Prader-Willi syndrome (PWS) region of chromosome 15. HBII-52 is exclusively expressed in the brain but is absent in PWS patients. The record is from Ensembl. NCBI's taxonomy places the organism in Eukaryota, Metazoa, Chordata, Mammalia, Rodentia, Cricetidae.